Molecule: ribosomal RNA, 412 nt
Filed under: uncultured Lactobacillus sp.
Lineage: Bacteria; Bacillati; Bacillota; Bacilli; Lactobacillales; Lactobacillaceae
Description: bacterial SSU rRNA
Rfam family: Bacterial small subunit ribosomal RNA
Source: RNAcentral
GUCUGGGACUACCACUUGGAAACAGGUGCUAAUACCGGAUAAGAAAGCAGAUCGCAUGAUCAGCUUUUAAAAGGCGCGUAAGCUGUCGCUAUGGGAUGGCCCGCGGUGCAUUAGCUAGUUGGUAAGGUAAAGGCUUACCAAGGCGAUGAUGCAUAGCCCGAGUUGAGAGACUGAUCGGGCCACAUUGGGGACUGAGACACGGGGCCCAAACUCCUACGGGGGGAGGGGCAGCAGUAGGGGGAAUCUUCCACAAUGGACGCAAGUCUGAUGGAGCAACGCCGCGUGAGUGAAGAAGGUUUCGGAUCGUAAAGCUCUGUUGUUGGUGAAGAAGGAUAGAGGUAGUAACUGGCCUUUAUUUGACGGUAAUCAACCAGAAAGUCACGGCUAACUACGUGCCAGCAGCCGCGGUAAU